GAUGAACGCUGGCGGCGUGCCUAAUACAUGCAAGUCGAGAGAACGGACGAGAAGCUUGCUUCUCUGAUGUUAGCGGCGGACGGGUGAGUAACACGUGGAUAACCUACCUAUAAGACUGGGAUAACUUCGGGAAACCGGAGCUAAUACCGGAUGAUAUUUUGAACCGCAUGGUUCAAAAGUGAAAGACGGUCUUGCUGUCACUUAUAGAUGGAUCCGCGCUGCAUUAGCUAGUUGGUAAGGUAACGGCUUACCAAGGCAACGAUGCAUAGCCGACCUGAGAGGGUGAUCGGCCACACUGGAACUGAGACACGGUCCAGACUCCUACGGGAGGCAGCAGUAGGGAAUCUUCCGCAAUGGGCGAAAGCCUGACGGAGCAACGCCGCGUGAGUGAUGAAGGUCUUCGGAUCGUAAAACUCUGUUAUUAGGGAAGAACAUAUGUGUAAGUAACUGUGCACAUCUUGACGGUACCUAAUCAGAAAGCCACGGCUAACUACGUG
Molecule: ribosomal RNA, 497 nt
Filed under: uncultured bacterium
Lineage: Bacteria
Description: partial 16S ribosomal RNA
Rfam family: Bacterial small subunit ribosomal RNA
Source: RNAcentral